ACGCCUCAGGCAGGCAGACUAACAUCUCCUGAGACCCUGGGACCCCUACCAUGAACUAAACAGCGGCCUGCCCGGUCCUUAGGAAUUCACCACCCGAGGAGUAAGAUGAGCAUCAAAUGCCGUCAUGGAUCAUUCUCAGGCAGUAUCUGAUAAUGACGAUAAUGAGGACCCGCAGUCCCGCACGUCCCAGGCUCUGUCGCAACCCGUGACUGACAGCUGGAACAUGGGAGUCCCACAGUGAGGUUCUGGCCCUGGCCUCUCCACUUGUCGCCGCUGCGUGAGGCUCACUUUCCUCGUCUGCACCCCCACCCCACCCCCC
Molecule: long non-coding RNA, 319 nt
Organism: Neomonachus schauinslandi (Hawaiian monk seal)
Lineage: Eukaryota; Metazoa; Chordata; Mammalia; Carnivora; Phocidae
Exons: 3
Source: RefSeq, a predicted model, not a curated record